GGAUGCGGCGUGCUUACCAUGCAGUCGAACGGUGAAGCAGAGCUUGCUCUGUGGAUCAGUGGCGAACGGGUGAGUAACACGUGAGCAACCUGCCCCUGACUCUGGGAUAAGCGCUGGAAACGGCGUCUAAUACUGGAUAUGAGCUGCGACCGCAUGGUCAGCAGUUGGAAAGAUUUUUCGGUCUGGGAUGGGCUCACGGCCUAUCAGCUUGUUGGUGAGGUAAUGGCUCACCAAGGCGUCGACGGGUAGCCGGCCUGAGAGGGUGACCGGCCACACUGGGACUGAGACACGGCCCAGACUCCUACGGGAGGCAGCAGUGGGGAAUAUUGCACAAUGGGCGAAAGCCUGAUGCAGCAACGCCGCGUGAGGGAUGACGGCCUUCGGGUUGUAAACCUCUUUUAGCAGGGAAGAAGCGAAAGUGACGGUACCUGCAGAAAAAGCGCCGGCUAACUACGUGCCAGCAGCCGCGGUAAUACGUAGGGCGCAAGCGUUAUCCGGAAUUAUUGGGCGUAAAGAGCUCGUAGGCGGUUUGUCGCGUCUGCUGUGAAAUCCCGAGGCUCAACCUCGGGUCUGCAGUGGGUACGGGCAGACUAGAGUGCGGUAGGGGAGAUUGGAAUUCCUGGUGUAGCGGUGGAAUGCGCAGAUAUCAGGAGGAACACCGAUGGCGAAGGCAGAUCUCUGGGCCGUUACUGACGCUGAGGAGCGAAAGGGUGGGGAGCAAACAGGCUUAGAUACCCUGGUAGUCCACCCCGUAAACGUUGGGAACUAGUUGUGGGGUCCAUUCCACGGAUUCCGUGACGCAGCUAACGCAUUAAGUUCCCCGCCUGGGGAGUACGGCCGCAAGGCUAAAACUCAAAGGAAUUGACGGGGACCCGCACAAGCGGCGGAGCAUGCGGAUUAAUUCGAUGCAACGCGAAGAACCUUACCAAGGCUUGACAUAUACGAGAACGGGCCAGAAAUGGUCAACUCUUUGGACACUCGUAAACAGGUGGUGCAUGGUUGUCGUCAGCUCGUGUCGUGAGAUGUUGGGUUAAGUCCCGCAACGAGCGCAACCCUCGUUCUAUGUUGCCAGCACGUAAUGGUGGGAACUCAUGGGAUACUGCCGGGGUCAACUCGGAGGAAGGUGGGGAUGACGUCAAAUCAUCAUGCCCCUUAUGUCUUGGGCUUCACGCAUGCUACAAUGGCCGGUACAAAGGGCUGCAAUACCGUGAGGUGGAGCGAAUCCCAAAAAGCCGGUCCCAGUUCGGAUUGAGGUCUGCAACUCGACCUCAUGAAGUCGGAGUCGCUAGUAAUCGCAGAUCAGCAACGCUGCGGUGAAUACGUUCCCGGGUCUUGUACACACCGCCCGUCAAGUCAUGAAAGUCGGUAACACCUGAAGCCGGUGGCCCAACCCUUGUGGAGGGAGCCGUCGAAGGUGGAUGAUGCAU
This 1427-nucleotide ribosomal RNA is filed under the name Microbacterium sp. HBUM178885. RNAcentral's name for it is "bacterial SSU rRNA". It matches the Rfam family "Bacterial small subunit ribosomal RNA". Lineage: Bacteria; Bacillati; Actinomycetota; Actinomycetes; Micrococcales; Microbacteriaceae. The record is from RNAcentral.